RNAcentral lists this ribosomal RNA (301 nucleotides) under uncultured bacterium. RNAcentral describes it as "partial 16S ribosomal RNA". It matches the Rfam family "Bacterial small subunit ribosomal RNA", at positions 509 to 809 of the family's 1533-position model. The record is from RNAcentral.
CAGCAGCCGCGGUAAUACGUAGGUGGCAAGCGUUGUCCGGAAUUAUUGGGCGUAAAGGGCUCGCAGGCGGUUUCUUAAGUCUGAUGUGAAAGCCCCCGGCUCAACCGGGGAGGGUCAUUGGAAACUGGGAAACUUGAGUGCAGAAGAGGAGAGUGGAAUUCCACGUGUAGCGGUGAAAUGCGUAGAGAUGUGGAGGAACACCAGUGGCGAAGGCGACUCUCUGGUCUGUAACUGACGCUGAGGAGCGAAAGCGUGGGGAGCGAACAGGAUUAGAUACCCCAGUAGUCCCUGUCCUUAUACA